Molecule: ribosomal RNA, 410 nt
Filed under: uncultured Tissierella sp.
Lineage: Bacteria; Bacillati; Bacillota; Tissierellia; Tissierellales; Tissierellaceae
Description: bacterial SSU rRNA
Rfam family: Bacterial small subunit ribosomal RNA
Source: RNAcentral
GUGCCAGCCGCCGCGGUAAUACGUAGGGGGCGAGCGUUGUCCGGAAUUACUGGGCGUAAAGAGUUCGUAGGCGGUCUGAUAAGUCAGAUGUGAAAGGCGUAGGCUUAACCUAUGUAAGCAUAUGAAACUGUCAGACUUGAGGUAAGGAGAGGAAAGUGGAAUUCCUAGUGUAGCGGUGAAAUGCGUAGAUAUUAGGAGGAAUACCAGUGGCGAAGGCGACUUUCUGGACUUAAACUGACGCUGAGGAACGAAAGCGUGGGGAGCAAACAGGAUUAGAUACCCUGGUAGUCCACGCCGUAAACGAUGAGUGCUAGGUGUCGGGUAGAAAUAUUCGGUGCCGCAGCUAACGCAAUAAGCACUCCGCCUGGGGAGUACGUACGCAAGUAUGAAACUCAAAUGAAUUGGCGGGG